Molecule: ribosomal RNA, 496 nt
Filed under: uncultured bacterium
Lineage: Bacteria
Description: partial 16S ribosomal RNA
Rfam family: Bacterial small subunit ribosomal RNA
Source: RNAcentral
GAUGAACGCUGGCGGCGUGCCUAAUACAUGCAAGUCGAGCGAACAGAUAAGGAGCUUGCUCCUUUGACGUUAGCGGCGGACGGGUGAGUAACACGUGGGUAACCUACCUAUAAGACUGGGAUAACUUCGGGAAACCGGAGCUAACACCGGAUAAUAUUUCGAACCGCAUGGUUCGAUAGUGAAAGAUGGUUUUGCUAUCACUUAUAGAUGGACCCGCGCCGUAUUAGCUAGUUGGUAAGGUAACGGCUUACCAAGGCGACGAUACGUAGCCGACCUGAGAGGGUGAUCGGCCACACUGGAACUGAGACACGGUCCAGACUCCUACGGGAGGCAGCAGGAGGGAAUCUUCCGCAAUGGGCGAAAGCCUGACGGAGCAACGCCGCGUGAGUGAUGAAGGUCUUCGGAUCGUAAAACUCUGUUAUUAGGGAAGAACAUACGUGUAAGUAACUGUGCACGUCUUGACGGUACCUAUCAGAAAGCCACGGCUAACUACGUG